This 72-nucleotide transfer RNA is filed under the name Camelus bactrianus (Bactrian camel). It matches the Rfam family "tRNA". From Rfam's summary of the family: Transfer RNA (tRNA) molecules are approximately 80 nucleotides in length. Their secondary structure includes four short double-helical elements and three loops (D, anti-codon, and T loops). The record is from Rfam by way of RNAcentral. RNAcentral also lists the same sequence under 1 other name. Lineage: Eukaryota; Metazoa; Chordata; Mammalia; Artiodactyla; Camelidae.
GAAGGUAUAUCUCAGUGGUAGAGUGCUUGCUUAGCAUACAUGAGGCCCUGGGUUCGAUGCCCAGUACCUCCA